This 433-nucleotide ribosomal RNA is filed under the name uncultured bacterium. RNAcentral describes it as "partial 16S ribosomal RNA". It matches the Rfam family "Bacterial small subunit ribosomal RNA", at positions 29 to 507 of the family's 1533-position model. The record is from RNAcentral.
UGCGAACGCUGGCGGCAGGCCUAACACAUGCAAGUCGAACGAACUCUUCGGAGUUAGUGGCGGACGGGUGAGUAACACGUGGGAACGUGCCUUUUGGUUCGGAAUAACUCAGGGAAACUUGUGCUAAUACCGAAUGUGCCCUUCGGGGGAAAGAUUUAUCGCCAUUAGAGCGGCCCGCGUCUGAUUAGCUAGUUGGUGAGGUAACGGCUCACCAAGGCGACGAUCAGUAGCUGGUCUGAGAGGAUGACCAGCCACACUGGGACUGAGACACGGCCCAGACUCCUACGGGAGGCAGCAGUGGGGAAUCUUGCGCAAUGGGCGAAAGCCUGACGCAGCCAUGCCGCGUGAAUGAUGAAGGUCUUAGGAUUGUAAAAUUCUUUCACCGGGGACGAUAAUGACGGUACCCGGAGAAGAAGCCCCGGCUAACUUCGUG